ACGAACGCUAGCGGCGUGCUUUAAGCAUGCAAGUAGAACGAAACUAGUAGCAAUACUAGUUAAGUUGCGAACGGCUGAGUAAUAAGUAAGAAUCUUUCCUUUGGUGGGGAAUACCUCGUCGAAAGACGAGCUAAUACCGCAUAACAUCUCCGGAUAAAAGCGAUUAACUUCGCGCCGAUUGAGGAGCUUACUUCCCAUCAGGUAGUUGGUAGGGUAAUGGCCUACCAAGCCUACGACGGGUACCCGAUCUGAGAGGAUGGACGGGCAGAGUGGGACUGAGACACGGCCCACACACCUACGGGUGGCAGCAACUGGGAAUCGUACACAAUGGACGAAAGUCUGAUGUCGCGACGCCGCGUGAAGGAUGAAGGCGUUUUCGUUGUAAACUUCUUUUGCCAUGUGUGAGAACACAUGGAGAAUAAGCACCUGCUAAUCUCGU
Molecule: ribosomal RNA, 439 nt
Filed under: uncultured bacterium
Lineage: Bacteria
Description: bacterial SSU rRNA
Rfam family: Bacterial small subunit ribosomal RNA
Source: RNAcentral